Molecule: long non-coding RNA, 1009 nt
Organism: Ananas comosus (pineapple)
Lineage: Eukaryota; Viridiplantae; Streptophyta; Magnoliopsida; Poales; Bromeliaceae
Exons: 9
Source: RefSeq, a predicted model, not a curated record
AUAAUGCACUUUUGCAUGAUAGAAGUCCUAAAGUGAAAUUGACCACGUACAAACCUAAUUGAGGGUAAAACAAACGCGUUGGCGAAGUCGGUUCGGCAAUCCGUUGAGCCUACGUGAAGAUAUCGCCAAAAAGGAUGUUUAUAUGGACUUAAUGUUGGCAGCCUUGAGGUUUUCGGAUUGAGAGGAAGCUGCAGAGCAGGAAGUCUGGGUUCUAGAGCUAAGAACCACUGGGAAUAAUACCUAAUUAAGAUUAGUGAGCUGAAAUCUAGUUGAUGCAAGCUCUUGGUGCUGCCGAAAUGCAAGGAUGGCCUAUUUGGUGCAGUGAGCAAGUCAAUUUAGCAUUAAAUUAAAACCUGUGAGCUGAUGGAUGCUCUUAGUGCUGCCGAAAUGAGGAGAGGAUCAUUGGAUGCAAGGAACAAGUUAAUUUAGCAUCCAGUUAAAAUUUGAAGCUGAAAUUGUAACCUUAGUGGGAUUUGGAGAAUUAGUAAAGCAAUACCCCAGUGGACUAAAGAAUAAACCUUAGACCAAGAUGCUUCAAGCUGAAACAAAAGCUUCAGCUGAGGGGAGCUUAUGUAUUGAUAUGGUCUUGAGCUGAAAUAACCUGAUAGAACCUCAGAUUUCAGCUCAAUGCUGAAUUUCAGCAUUGAACUCUAUUGGCUGUUAGAGUUGGAACUUGGAACCAUCUAAUCGAGCAAUAAUUCCAGCUGUGGGAGCUUUGAAACUGAUGAAAUGCAAGUUGAUGCUGAAAUUUCAGCAUUAGUGCUGAAAUUAGUAUUGAGCUGAACAAAAGACUUUCAAGCAGAAUUUCUCGCUGAUUAGAGCUGAAUGGAAUCAGGUCGACGACGCGCUAAUUACGGUAGAGGCAGUUCUAGUUCUAUUUACACUGAGACGCGCAAGAUUGUUCUUGACACAGUUCGAGACGUGGAUUCUAGUUGUUGACACCACUACAGGUUCCAGUGCGAGUAUUGUGGCCGAGGAUCGAGGCAAGAGCCAGCAGCCUAGCUAGUGG